GAUGAACGCUAGCGGCAGGCUUAAUACAUGCAAGUCGUGGGGCAGCAUGAGUAGCAAUACUUGAUGGCGACCGGCAAACGGGUGAGGAACACGUACACAACCUUCCUUCAAGCGGGGAAUAGCCCAGAGAAAUUUGGAUUAAUACCCCAUAAUAUAUUUGAUAAGGCAUCUUAUUAAAUAUUAAAGCUUCGGCACUUGAUGAUGGGUGUGCGGCUGAUUAGAUAGUUGGCGGGGUAACGGCCCACCAAGUCUACGAUCAGUAGCUGAUGUGAGAGCAUGAUCAGCCACACGGGCACUGAGACACGGGCCCGACUCCUACGGGAGGCAGCAGUAAGGAAUAUUGGACAAUGGACGAAAGUCUGAUCCAGCCAUGCCGCGUGAAGGAUUAAGGUCCUCUGGAUUGUAAACUUCUUUUAUAUGGGACGAAAAAGGGACAUUCUUGUUCACUUGACGGUACCAUAUGAAUAAGCACCGGCUAACUCCGUGCCAG
RNAcentral lists this ribosomal RNA (490 nucleotides) under uncultured bacterium. Its description in RNAcentral is "bacterial SSU rRNA". It matches the Rfam family "Bacterial small subunit ribosomal RNA", at positions 28 to 511 of the family's 1533-position model. The record is from RNAcentral.